AACACCUAUGAGUUGAGCUCGUAGAUAUUUUAAAUCCCCGGCCAAUUAUUUGGGCUGACAUCCUAAGUCUCUGCAUUUCAAACCCUUAUUAUUUUGCCUCAAAUUCUUUUUCCCAUUUCUCCGAUUUCCAAAUUCUCUCUUCGCAUUUCUCCAUUUCUCAAAUUCCCAAAUUCUCGUUCCGUGCCGCCGAUGUCCUGCUCUGCCACCGGUCGCCCUUGCUCUACCGCCGGACUAUUGCUUUGCCACCGGUCGCCCUUGCUCCGCCGCUGGUUUCCUGCUUCGCCAGCAACAGCUUUCAGCUUUCCUUCGUAGCAAGGUUUGCUGGAUUUUCUCCAAUUCGUCCGAUCACAUUUCUCUGAUUUUCUCUAGAUUUUCUUCGAAUUCAUAAACACACGCUGAGCUUACUUUUUGGAGCCAUUUUUCGCACUGCAGCUGUUGUUAUUUCAGUUGGCUAUGUAGUAAAAAAAUUGCAAAAGUGCGGACAAGCUAGAGUUAGACGGUACAUAAUUCAUAUAUCAGAACACUUUACUCUUCUACACAAUCUUUUAAUUCUACAUUGGAUAUUUCAUUACUCAAAUGUUCCUACUUGUAUCUGAGGUCAUGCUAAUUUUUAUGCAAUUGUUAAGCUGCUGAUACUUGGAUAAAUAGAUUGUGUGUAUGACUCGUUCCAUAAUAUACACACGCUCAAGGAUGGGUGGUAUACGUAUAAGAGAACUGCAAACGUUGAUGAAAUACGAGAGGAGUUGCGCUUAGAAUAACGACAAGAAAUACAUCAAUGCGCAUCUGAAGUAUUUUCUUGAUCCUAAACUUAGGAUAUGUUAAUACAGCAGGAAAUCAAAGAAUUGCGGGAGCUGGUAAAGGUCCUUAGUCAAAAAGUUCAAUAGAUGAGAAGAAGUGAAUAGAUUUAGCUUGCGUUAGGUUUUGACAUUUAUAUUUUCUAUUCUAGCUUCACGGUUUCUAAGUUGUGAAACCGUGGCUAGAUAGUUAUCAUUUUGGAAGAUUCAAAUCAUUUGUUUGGUUGUAAAAAAAUAGUUAUUUUUUAUUUUAUGUAAAAUUUGAAUUUUUUUA
Salvia splendens (bonfire salvia) is the source of this 1068-nucleotide long non-coding RNA. RefSeq lists it as uncharacterized. NCBI's taxonomy places the organism in Eukaryota, Viridiplantae, Streptophyta, Magnoliopsida, Lamiales, Lamiaceae. The record is from RefSeq and is a predicted model, not a curated record. The transcript is spliced from 5 exons.